GAUGAACGCUGGCGGCGUGCCUAAUACAUGCAAGUCGAGCGAACAGACGAGGAGCUUGCUCCUCUGACGUUAGCGGCGGACGGGUGAGUAACACGUGGAUAACCUACCUAUAAGACUGGGAUAACUUCGGGAAACCGGAGCUAAUACCGGAUAAUAUAUUGAACCGCAUGGUUCAAUAGUGAAAGACGAUUUUGCUGUCACUUAUAGAUGGAUCCGCGCCGCAUUAGCUAGUUGGUAAGGUAACGGCUUACCAAGGCAACGAUGCGUAGCCGACCUGAGAGGGUGAUCGGCCACACUGGAACUGAGACAUGGUCCAGACUCCUACGGGAGGCAGCAGUAGGGAAUCUUCCGCAAUGGGCGAAAGCCUGACGGAGCAACGCCGCGUGAGUGAUGAAGGUCUUCGGAUCGUAAAACUCUGUUAUUAGGGAAGAACAAAUGUGUAAGUAACUAUGCACGUCUUGACGGUACCUAAUCAGAAAGCCACGGCUAACUACGUG
Molecule: ribosomal RNA, 497 nt
Filed under: uncultured bacterium
Lineage: Bacteria
Description: partial 16S ribosomal RNA
Rfam family: Bacterial small subunit ribosomal RNA
Source: RNAcentral